Microcebus murinus (gray mouse lemur) is the source of this 902-nucleotide non-coding RNA. Lineage: Eukaryota; Metazoa; Chordata; Mammalia; Primates; Cheirogaleidae. The record is from RefSeq and is a predicted model, not a curated record.
GUACCUAUUGAGCUUAAGGUUGAGGCCACAGAACUCUGGCAGCACCAGGACGGGACAUCUCUGUCAACUGCUUGCCGGAAAAGCUGAUAUUCCCAUAUCCUGAAGAGAUGAAACAACGUUUUCUAGAUGUGCUGCCUGAUGUUCACAAUCUCUCUGGAUUCUAAACAAUGUAAGCACAUGGUCACCGGUGGCAUCAAUGUCACCUCCAUUAUGUGUAUCCUGGAGCUAUGACUUCUUGUCCUCUUCGAAGGGUGCUGUCCGAUAGUCUACAAAAAGAAGUAACUCGAAAGGGUAAAGUCCAAUGGAAUAAUAGAGUAGGUGUAUGAGCAGAGGAGAUACAGGCAAUAUGUGUUUUUGCUGCCAUUCCUUGUCAUCACAUCCACAUGUAGUCUUCCUGAUGCUCCAUGAGGAUAGAGUUCUGGUGGAUCCAUAAUGUGUGGAAGAUCUUUCAACAGGUGAAAUGCGGCCACCCCACAGCACCAAAUUCAGAUGUUACAGUUCUAUUUGCUGCAGAGACUAAUACUUCUGAGUCCCAGCUCCUCAUCUGCAUGUAAUUGAUCUGGGAUAACAUAAUCACAGAGCAGUCAGGACUGGCAUUUAGGAAGCCCUGGACGGCAGCUGCAGGCUGUGUGCCCGUGAGGGAUCCAGAGUGGAAAUGUACUGUGCUGCUUACGGGGGAAUUCCUAAGCUUCACUUGUGGUCUUGAUGCCUUCCUGACACUAUGGUCUUAAAGAGGCUGGUCAAGUGAAGCAGUGGGAGUGGAGAAGGAACAAAGGAAUCUGUAACUGGUUGUGAUCAAUUAGCUGUAAACACCAGUGUAAACAUCUCAGACCAACCAAAAACUAUUUUUUAACUUUAAAGUUAAUUAACCUUUUAAUGACUUUGUUGUGUCUGCUUUUUGU